AAGGCUAUACUUUCAGGGAUCAUUUCUAUAGUACGUUACUAGAGAAGUUUCUCUCACUGUGUAGAGUACUACAGACCAUGAAGAGGAGAGGUAGUGUUCCUUCCUGAGUGUGAAGCCGGCUCUUGGUGUUGCUUUGCUGUAACUGCUAUUUGCCAUUGAUGAUCGUUCUUACUUUCUCCUUGGAGGGAACAAGAGGGAAGGAAUGCAGUCUAAGUGGAA
Molecule: small nucleolar RNA, 219 nt
Organism: Chinchilla lanigera (long-tailed chinchilla)
Lineage: Eukaryota; Metazoa; Chordata; Mammalia; Rodentia; Chinchillidae
Source: Ensembl